UGGGAGAGCAAGGAGCCAGCAAGUCUAGA
Molecule: non-coding RNA, 29 nt
Filed under: Homo sapiens (human)
Lineage: Eukaryota; Metazoa; Chordata; Mammalia; Primates; Hominidae
Source: RNAcentral